This is a long non-coding RNA of Scophthalmus maximus (turbot), 373 nucleotides long. RefSeq lists it as uncharacterized. The transcript is spliced from 3 exons. The record is from RefSeq and is a predicted model, not a curated record. NCBI's taxonomy places the organism in Eukaryota, Metazoa, Chordata, Actinopteri, Pleuronectiformes, Scophthalmidae.
UACUAUGUGUGAUUCGGAGGGAAACUCAGUGUGAGGGAUCGUUUGCACUCGAGGACGUUUUUAGACCCGAGCAUCUCUGAUACGCAGCCAGGAAUAGUUCGGCUCCGGAGGACGCGACACGCUUUCUACAAAUAGAGAUGUGAAGAUGUUCAUCAUUUGCACAUUGCAAAAUGUUCCCUGCAGGUUAUUUCGUGGAAAAGUCAGAAGAGAAAACCGAACCGGUUGGAGGCUGUGAAGAUUAACAGCAGGUCAACAACAGCUUUGUGGAUUUGAAGGAGCAGAUGAACACACGUCCCAGAUAAAGAGCUGACAUGUGAGCGAGCGCACACACACACACACACACACACACACACACACAUACACACACACACAC